RNAcentral lists this transfer RNA (76 nucleotides) under Chloroflexota bacterium. RNAcentral's name for it is "Chloroflexi bacterium (freshwater metagenome) tRNA-Phe". It matches the Rfam family "tRNA". From Rfam's summary of the family: Transfer RNA (tRNA) molecules are approximately 80 nucleotides in length. Their secondary structure includes four short double-helical elements and three loops (D, anti-codon, and T loops). Further hydrogen bonds mediate the characteristic L-shaped molecular structure. tRNAs have two regions of fundamental functional importance: the anti-codon, which is responsible for specific mRNA codon recognition, and the 3' end, to which the tRNAs corresponding amino acid is attached (by aminoacyl-tRNA synthetases). tRNAs cope with the degeneracy of the genetic code in two manners: having more than one tRNA (with a specific anti-codon) for a particular amino acid; and 'wobble' base-pairing, i.e. permitting non-standard base-pairing at the 3rd anti-codon position. The record is from RNAcentral. Lineage: Bacteria; Bacillati; Chloroflexota.
GCCGCUUUAGCACUGACGGUCAGUGUAUCCGGCUGAAACCCGGAGGAAUGCAGUUCGAUCCUGCGAGGCGGCGCAA